Molecule: long non-coding RNA, 307 nt
Organism: Raphanus sativus (radish)
Lineage: Eukaryota; Viridiplantae; Streptophyta; Magnoliopsida; Brassicales; Brassicaceae
Exons: 2
Source: RefSeq, a predicted model, not a curated record
CUCUUUUUUCUUAUUCUCAAUCUCAACUUAUCUCCUCCGACCAUCUCCUGCCUUGCUUAAUCUCCAUUUAUCUUCAUGCCUAUCCCUGCUCAGCCUCCAUCCAAGCCUGCCGUCGUUAGCAUCAGUCGCCAUUGUCGUGGAGAUCUGAGAAGGAAAAGAGAUGAAACGGGAAGGAGAAUAAUACGGUGAAUCCGUAUGAUAGAUCAAUGUUCAGUAAACAAAGAUCUAUAAACUCAUUUGUAAAAGAUUGAUGAAAGAGAACAAUCCUUACGUAUGAAUUUCCAAUAGAUUUUUCCCAGAAAGUACA